This 454-nucleotide ribosomal RNA is filed under the name uncultured bacterium. RNAcentral's name for it is "bacterial SSU rRNA". It matches the Rfam family "Bacterial small subunit ribosomal RNA", at positions 329 to 797 of the family's 1533-position model. The record is from RNAcentral.
GAUUGUACUCCUACGGGAGGCAGCAGUGGGGAAUAUUGGACAAUGGACCAAAAGUCUGAUCCAGCAAUUCUGUGUGCACGAUGACGUUUUUCGGAAUGUAAAGUGCUUUCAGUUGGGAAGAAAAAAAUGACGGUACCAACAGAAGAAGUGACGGCUAAAUACGUGCCAGCAGCCGCGGUAAUACGUAUGUCACAAGCGUUAUCCGGAUUUAUUGGGCGUAAAGGGCGUCUAGGUGGUUGUGUAAGUCUGAUGUGAAAAUGCAGGGCUCAACUCUGUAUUGCGUUGGAAACUGCACAACUAGAGUACUGGAGAGGUAAGCGGAACUACAAGUGUAGAGGUGAAAUUCGUAGAUAUUUGUAGGAAUGCCGAUGGGGAAGCCAGCUUACUGGACAGAUACUGACGCUAAAGCGCGAAAGCGUGGGUAGCAAACAGGAUUAGAUACCCGAGUAGUCCU